GCCAAAUGCUCUGUCAACAACUCCCAGUGCCAUAUCCCCAGGCAUGGGGACCUGACAUGAGGCUCAGGACUCUCACUCCCUUAGGAAUGGUGAUCCCUGAAGUGACUAGAGCUGCAGGUGGUGCCUGAACAUGGACCCCUUCGUAGUGAUUGGCUGCGUCUACCUUGUGAGUCUGAGAUGGCUGUGGUGGUUUGCACUUGGUUCCUGUAGCCCGUGCAAGACCCAUCAUUCAACCUUAAUCAUCUCUGCUGUCCUUGGUCCUGAAGGAAUGCCCUAUACUUCGUACUAUCAAGGCUCCCCCAUGGCCUGAGCUCACGGGAUAGACUCAUCAUCCCUUACCUGAUGGGAAGCAGCUGCAAAACGGAUCCAGCCAUCAUCCAAGGAGACGACAAACUCUCCCCGUUGGAGCUGCACGUUCACUUGGCCUCCUCCGAACAAGACCAGCGGGUACACAGACACCAUGCUGCAGUCUCGGAUGAAUACCCGACUAGUUUUGAUCUUCUCGUGGUACACCAGGUAAGGGCUGUCAAAGUGUCUGACCUGGAACGUAUGACAGUGAUGUCACUGGCAACAUAAGGGGAACUCCGCCAGUCCCAUGGAUCUAACUGUCACCUGUCCAACGACUCCCAAAAUGAUCUUCAGCCUGAGCUCCAGACUUGUAUGUGCAACUGCUUACUUGACGUUUCACCUGGACAGUGAACAAGCACCUCAGAUUUCUUGUGUGCAAAAGGAAAUCUCGAUUUUGCCCUCCCUGCGGUGUUCACCGUCUCCCAUUCACCCAGUUGCUUCAGGCCCAGAUUUUGAGCCAUCCUUGAUUGCUCUCUUUCCUUCACUCCAUCUACAUCAUCACUAAGCCCUGUCAGCUCUGUUAUCAAAAUACAUGAUGAAUUGACAUAUUUUUACCGCUUCUACAGCUACCACCUCGUACAAACUCUCAUCUCAAAUAGACCACAGCAAUGGCUUCCUAUGUACUUGC
Molecule: long non-coding RNA, 976 nt
Organism: Phacochoerus africanus (Common warthog)
Lineage: Eukaryota; Metazoa; Chordata; Mammalia; Artiodactyla; Suidae
Exons: 3
Source: RefSeq, a predicted model, not a curated record